UACGGAGGGGGCUAGCGUUGUUCGGAAUUACUGGGCGUAAAGCGCGCGCAGGCGGCGGUGCUGGCCCGGCGUGAAAGCCCCCGGCUCAACCGGGGAGGGUCGUCGGGGACCGCACCGCUUGAGGGCGGUAGGGGCUGGUGGAAUGCCUGGUGUAGUGGUGAAAUGCGUAGAGAUCAGGCGGAACACCCGUGGCGAAGGCGGCCAGCUGGGCCGUCCCUGACGCUGAGGCGCGAAGGCGUGGGGAGCGAACGGG
This 253-nucleotide ribosomal RNA is filed under the name uncultured bacterium. Its description in RNAcentral is "partial 16S ribosomal RNA". It matches the Rfam family "Bacterial small subunit ribosomal RNA", at positions 524 to 776 of the family's 1533-position model. The record is from RNAcentral.